RNAcentral lists this ribosomal RNA (429 nucleotides) under Chloroflexota bacterium. RNAcentral describes it as "Chloroflexi bacterium partial 16S ribosomal RNA". It matches the Rfam family "Bacterial small subunit ribosomal RNA", at positions 355 to 776 of the family's 1533-position model. The record is from RNAcentral. Lineage: Bacteria; Bacillati; Chloroflexota.
UGGGGAAUAUUGCACAAUGGGCGCAAGCCUGAUGCAGCCAUGCCGCGUGUAUGAAGAAGGCCUUCGGGUUGUAAAGUACUUUCAGCGGGGAGGAAGGGAGUAAAGUUAAUACCUUUGCUCAUUGACGUUACCCGCAGAAGAAGCACCGGCUAACUCCGUGCCAGCAGCCGCGGUAAUACGGAGGGUGCAAGCGUUAAUCGGAAUUACUGGGCGUAAAGCGCACGCAGGCGGUUUGUUAAGUCAGAUGUGAAAUCCCCGGGCUCAACCUGGGAACUGCAUCUGAUACUGGCAAGCUUGAGUCUCGUAGAGGGGGGUAGAAUUCCAGGUGUGGCGGUGAAAUGCGUAGAGUUCUGGAGGAAUACCGGUGGCGAAGGCGGCCCCCUGGACGAAGACUGACGCUCAGGUGCGAAAGCGUGGGGAGCAAACAGG